RNAcentral lists this small nucleolar RNA (81 nucleotides) under Merops nubicus (carmine bee-eater). RNAcentral describes it as "Small nucleolar RNA snR60/Z15/Z230/Z193/J17". It matches the Rfam family "Small nucleolar RNA snR60/Z15/Z230/Z193/J17". From Rfam's summary of the family: The members of this family belong to the C/D class of snoRNAs which contain the C (UGAUGA) and D (CUGA) box motifs. Most of the members of the box C/D family function in directing site-specific 2'-O-methylation of substrate RNAs. Lineage: Eukaryota; Metazoa; Chordata; Aves; Coraciiformes; Meropidae. The record is from Rfam by way of RNAcentral.
CAGAUACAGUGAUGAUGGCAUAGUUCAGCAGAACAUCCUGUGACGAGCAGUUUUUUCUUUCGCUCCUAUCUGAUGUGUCUG